GAUUGAAUGGUCCGGUGAAGUGUUCGGAUCGCGGCGACGUGGGCGGUCCUGCUGCCGGCGACGUCGCGAGAAGUCCACUGAACCUUAUCAUUUAGAGGAAGGAGAAGUCGUAACAAGGUUUCCGUAGGUGAACCUGCGGAAGGAUCAUUGUCGAAACCUGCAAGGCAGAACGACCCGUGGACCGUUUGUGGCUCCUCAUUCUCGAGCGGCGGGGCCUUCGUGCCCAUCCGCUCGUCGCCCCAGGGCUAGGGACGUGGGCCGAGCCCACGCUCGCUAUCCUUGGGUGCAUACAACAAACCCCGGCGCAGAUCGCGCCAAGGAACAAGAAAGAAAGAGAGACGCGCUCCCAUGGUCCCGGAUACGGUGCGCCACGGGCAGCGUCGUCGAUGUGAGUAUUCGAAACGACUCUCGGCAACGGAUAUCUCGGCUCUCGCAUCGAUGAAGAACGUAGCGAAAUGCGAUACUUGGUGUGAAUUGCAGAAUCCCGUGAACCAUCGAGUUUUUGAACGCAAGUUGCGCCCGAAGCCGUCUGGCCGAGGGCACGUCUGCCUGGGUGUCAAGAAACGUCGCCAAACGUCCCUCUCCGCACCCUCCCCACCCGAGGGGGGUGAGCAUCGAGGGCGGGCGGAUAUUGGCCUCCCGUGCGCGAUUGCUCGCGGUUGGCCCAAAAGAGAGUACCCCGGCGAGGCAGCCACGGCGUGCGGUGGUAGAAAGCGUAUGCUCUCCUCGGACACCGUCGUGGGCCGACCUCGUGGGGGUAGGCAGGAAAGACUAACUAAGGCCCCGAUGCGAAGUCGUGUUUCGCGAAGCGACCCCAGGUCAGGCGGGAGCACCCGCUGAGUUUAAGCAUAUCAAUAAGCGGAGGAAAAGAAACUUACGAGGAUUCCCCUAGUAACGGCGAGCGAACCGGGAACAGCCCAGCUUGAGAAUCGGAUGCCCUCGGCGUUCGAAUUGUAGUCUGGAGAAGCG
RNAcentral lists this unclassified non-coding RNA (969 nucleotides) under Salacia chinensis. RNAcentral's name for it is "partial contains 18S rRNA, ITS1, 5.8S rRNA, ITS2 and 28S RNA". The stretch from base 404 to 559 matches the Rfam family "5.8S ribosomal RNA". Lineage: Eukaryota; Viridiplantae; Streptophyta; Magnoliopsida; Celastrales; Celastraceae. The record is from RNAcentral.